Molecule: long non-coding RNA, 980 nt
Filed under: Aquilegia coerulea
Lineage: Eukaryota; Viridiplantae; Streptophyta; Magnoliopsida; Ranunculales; Ranunculaceae
Description: long non-coding RNA (ACOE_LNC000428)
Source: RNAcentral
UUUUGUUAGAGUUCGAAUUGGUCACGUCUGAUAUUAAAGCUGUUGAAGUCGGUUGAUGUGCUGUCAGCCUUUCCACCCAGUUCUCGGGGGUAAAUCUUAAUACAAGAUCAACAAACCCUUCCCCUCUCAACUCAACAAUCAAAUCAAAUCCAAUUAUUCGACCUAUCUUAUCUUGAAUUCUUUAUCUGAUCACCCUAAUUUUCAAAUUUAAUCAUCGAUCUUCGGAUUUUAUUUACAAAUUCAAUCAUCCAUCUUCGGAUUUAUAGGUAAACCUUAAAACAAGAUAAACAAACUUUUACUCUUUAACACACAAAUCAAAUCCCAAUUCAUCUCCAUUUUUCCACUUUAUCUUGAUCUGAUCAUCGAUAUUUACAAAUUCAAUCAUCUAUGUCGCCGGAUUUUAGCAACAUUCAAAAAAGUGUUACCAAGGGAUCAAUUCAACGAUGUUUGGCGGCGAGAAAGAAUGGUAUUUCCAAUAAAGUAAAACAAACUACAACUAAGUAAUGGUUGACAAAAAGAUGCUCUAUUCUUCAAAUUGACGAUGACAUACUCUCGGAUGAAAUUCUCGAUAAACUUCCACUCACAUCUCUGUGUACAUGUAAGUGCGUAUCUAGGUUAUGGAGAUCUUUAAUUGUGCAAAACUUUGAUCGAUCACCAAGAUUACCUAUUAUUUGUAGAAUUGGUCUUUGUUCAAUUGACACAAAUACUGGAUUAGUAACCCCUAUUUACACUCCAAUUCAUCAUGGUGAUUAUGUUCUUAUUAAACCUAUUUGCUCCAAAGCAGUUUCAGUAGAAAGGAUAAUUGGAGAAGCCAAAGCUAUUGUGUGGUAUUGGUGUGGCAUCUGGUGGGGAGCCGACAGUUCACCUAUCAAGAGAUGCUGGAGCAUUGGGGAGCUUUACUUGCAGGCAACUACAGCUCUUAGCCUUGCUAUGAUGAGUUGGAAAUGGAGCAGUGAAUGCUUGCUUCUGUUCAAUAUUAU